RNAcentral lists this ribosomal RNA (1111 nucleotides) under Bacillus sp. MRSA79B1_13_1A. RNAcentral's name for it is "bacterial SSU rRNA". It matches the Rfam family "Bacterial small subunit ribosomal RNA", at positions 56 to 1143 of the family's 1533-position model. Lineage: Bacteria; Bacillati; Bacillota; Bacilli; Caryophanales; Bacillaceae. The record is from RNAcentral.
UGCAAGUCGAGCGAAUCAUGAUGGGAGCUUGCUCCCUGAUGAUUAGCGGCGGACGGGUGAGUAACACGUGGGUAACCUGCCUGUAAGACUGGGAUAACUCCGGGAAACCGGGGCUAAUACCGGAUAACUUUUUUCUUCGCAUGAGGGAGAAUUGAAAGAUGGCUUCGGCUAUCACUUACAGAUGGACCCGCGGCGCAUUAGCUAGUUGGUGAGGUAACGGCUCACCAAGGCGACGAUGCGUAGCCGACUUGAGAGGGUGAUCGGCCACACUGGGACUGAGACACGGCCCAGACUCCUACGGGAGGCAGCAGUAGGGAAUCUUCCGCAAUGGACGAAAGUCUGACGGAGCAACGCCGCGUGAGUGAUGAAGGUUUUCGGAUCGUAAAACUCUGUUGUUAGGGAAGAACAAGUAUCGUUCGAAUAGGGCGGUACCUUGACGGUACCUAACCAGAAAGCCACGGCUAACUACGUGCCAGCAGCCGCGGUAAUACGUAGGUGGCAAGCGUUGUCCGGAAUUAUUGGGCGUAAAGCGCGCGCAGGCGGUUUCUUAAGUCUGAUGUGAAAUCUUGCGGCUCAACCGCAAGCGGCCAUUGGAAACUGGGAGACUUGAGUGCAGAAGAGGAGAGUGGAAUUCCACGUGUAGCGGUGAAAUGCGUAGAGAUGUGGAGGAACACCAGUGGCGAAGGCGACUCUCUGGUCUGUAACUGACGCUGAGGCGCGAAAGCGUGGGGAGCGAACAGGAUUAGAUACCCUGGUAGUCCACGCCGUAAACGAUGAGUGCUAAGUGUUAGAGGGUUUCCGCCCUUUAGUGCUGCAGCUAACGCAUUAAGCACUCCGCCUGGGGAGUACGGCCGCAAGGCUGAAACUCAAAGGAAUUGACGGGGGCCCGCACAAGCGGUGGAGCAUGUGGUUUAAUUCGAAGCAACGCGAAGAACCUUACCAGGUCUUGACAUCCUCUUGACCUCCCUAGAAGAUAGGGAUUUCCCUUCGGGGACAGGAGUGACAGGUGGUGCAUGGUUGUCGUCAGCUCGUGUCGUGAGAUGUUGGGUUAAGUCCCGCAACGAGCGCAACCCUUUGACCUUAGUUGCCAGCAUUCAGUUGGGCACUCUAA